UAAAAAACACCAGCCGCCACUGCGUUUCUAAACAUUCUUUGAGAGAGCAUGAUCACUAUAACAAGUCUAUCCUAUAACAAAUAGAAUAUGUAUAGUAUAGUGACAAGUUGUCACUAGUACCAGCAGGUGUCUGUGUUGCACUGCGUGCAGCGUGGUUGCAUGGGUUGUAACGGCAAAGUGUGCUUCACCUAAACCAGGGGUCUUUUCAGGCCAUGGUCCUGCAAACUGAUGGCGAGAUGGAGCAGGGACGCCCUAUUCUAUUCGAGUUUGGUCUGCCAUCUUUUAUUUUUGAGCUUUACGUUCUUUAGACGUGAGCGUAAACGCGAUCUGAUUGGCUAGUGCCUGUCCUGUUGUAUUUGCAUGACAGAAGCUGAGAGAGCUCCUGUGGGUAGCUGAACGUGUGUAUUGCGGACUGGAAGAUAACAAAAACUAUUCUGUAUUUGUCUAAUCUUGAACACCAGCUUCUGGUCAGUCUGGUAAUGAUGUGCUGCAGCGAAGGUUUACAACAAGCAGCACAGGCUGCGCUGUUGGUAUUCUGAACCGACUAAAAGGCUGAGAGGAGCUAAAUGCAACUAUUGAUUAUCUUAAUAAUUGAUUGUCUACAUAUUAAUUAUCUUCAUUAUUAUUUACUGGGUAUUGCGUCAAUUAAUAGAGAAGUUAAAUAAAAAUACUAUUUAUUUCUCACAGCUUAUUGGUAAUUAUUGAUUGAGCAACAGCAAGUUAACAUACGGUAUAUAUUGGGUUUUUUUCUGAGCAAGUACCAUAAGAAUCAUUUUUCUUUUAUCACGAAAGAGCAUAAACAGUCAAUGUUCAGUAAGGUUCCUUGUUAGAGAGGUUAAAGUGUUUUUUUAGUCUGAAAAGUUUGUAUUUCCUUUGAAUGUGAGCUAACAAUGCUUAGUGAUGCAGGUUGAGCCGUUGCCCGAGGACAAAGUUAACUUUUAACAUCCACAGUUUUAUCUAUUCUUCCUACUUUACAUUUUCUUACUCUGCACUGAGCCAGUUGCUGAGACACACACAAGGUCAUUUACGCUUUCUGAAGAAACUUCUCUUCUUCUGAACAAUAUGACCAGCAAGAGAAAACCACCUUUCACAGGCUUCAGAUGUUGUACUUCAGACCGCUUCAGUCUGCAUGUCGUCAGUGAGAACAGUUGGUGCUCGUUUUAACGCCGUCACUCCAUUUUCAUAAAACGUAUGUUUUCUCCUCACGGUUGUGCGUGUUGUUAGUCUGCUCCAGUGGUUGUUGUAGUACUUCAGAUCGUAGUACUUGAUAAGAUACUUCCGGUUUGCAGUGAUUACAAAUAGCUUCUGGUCGAGAUUUCAAAUGAAAAUGUCCAUUUAAAAGCGCAGUACCUUUCUCCAUUUUCUUAAUGUGCGCAGCAGCGUUAAGCCCCUCCCAGUGCAAAAGAAAGAAAUGCUGUCAACACGUGAUAAAACCAUUGUCAGCGUUAAUGGAUUGUUAAGUUAACACAUUUAUAACGCGUUAAUGUGCCCAGCCCUAAUUUAUUUUUAUUUAUCUAUAUAUUUUUAAUGAGACCGUCUUAGCCUGAUGGAAUUGUUUAAAUUGUAUGUGCUUCAUUUCAUAAAAUGUAUUGAUGCUUAUUAAUAACUAAUUAUUAAUGUAAUUGUCAGAGGCAUUUGAACUCUCAAGAUGAUGUUGGGACAUUUGCUAGGCUUAUAAUGUCAACGUUUCUAAAAACGACACUAAAAACCUCUAAACUGUUAAUUAAUCACCCAACCUUGAUUCAACAUUAUAUUUUUAGAAUAUGUUGAAGUGAAAUUAUUAUUGAAUUAACUCAUUUUUUUGUGAUUCUAACCAGAUUAACCAGCAGGUCCACAAAUAAUUGAAAAAGGAUCCUACAAAUUAGCUUUGCUAAAUUACACUUUUGUAAAUGUCUAUGCAACUGUCUUUCUCUUCUGCUACGCUUUCUCUUUUUCUCCUGUUCUCUCCUCUAGUUUCCUCUCCUUUUCCUUAAGCCUCUCCUCUCGCCUCCCUCUUCUUUGAUUUCUCUCCAUCAGCUUGCUUGUCUAAUUGCUGCUGAUGGAGGUUGGCUCACUAAAUGGCAGAUGCUCAAACCCAGAGCCUGCUUCUGCUACCUGUUUGUACCAAUUAAUAGGCCCAUGAUACCGCGCUGACGCCUCUUCAAUGGGUUAAAGGAUGCCACAAUUAGCCACUCAUUUGAAUAGCCUCCUGCUUAGCGAGAGGACCCUUAGUGCAUCAUCUCCAACUGUGGGCUCCGCCUUUCAUCUAUUUGCAUUUUCCUUGCUGACUCGCAAAUGAGGCAUGGAGAGGCCGGGAACCCCCGCGUGUUGAGCAAACAGUCUUUUCACCAGAUCCCCAAAUUAGACUUACGGGUAGCUGCAGAGUUGCAUGGCAAAAUGCUCGUCAGACAUGAGAAGGCCGGUUCCCAGUGGUCUGCAUGUGGACACAUUUGGUUCUCUUCUGGCCUGCUGGGCUUUGGUUAGUGUUACUCAUGAGGCGAUACUAAAUCUGUUUAGAGAGUAAUCCCUACUACAAGACAAUAUCACAUCUUCUUAAGCAUUGUUGCUUUCUGACACACCGCUCACUGAAAGCUUUGUGGUUGUUCUUAUACAAUGGAUGUGAAGGAGAAGCCAACUCGCCUAAACCAACAGACACAGGAGCAGCGUCUCCCCUCAGGUCCUCUCUCUGGUGAGAUCAACUGCACCUCCGUUGGCACCAUCUCCUCUUUCUGCGCUUUAACCUUAGUGGUUGUGUCAUUGUUGUACAUGUUUAAUAUCACAUAUGUGUGUGUGU
Gasterosteus aculeatus aculeatus (three-spined stickleback) is the source of this 2773-nucleotide long non-coding RNA. The record is from Ensembl. Lineage: Eukaryota; Metazoa; Chordata; Actinopteri; Perciformes; Gasterosteidae.